UNGAAUACUUGUAUUUAUGCUGAGCCAUG
RNAcentral lists this non-coding RNA (29 nucleotides) under Mus musculus (house mouse). The record is from RNAcentral. Lineage: Eukaryota; Metazoa; Chordata; Mammalia; Rodentia; Muridae.